Non-coding RNA from Podarcis lilfordi (Lilford's wall lizard), 70 nucleotides. NCBI's taxonomy places the organism in Eukaryota, Metazoa, Chordata, Lepidosauria, Squamata, Lacertidae. The record is from the annotation of a GenBank genome assembly.
UGCCAUGUCAGUCAGUAGAGCAUGAGACUUGUAAUCUCAAGGUUGUGGGUUUGAGCCCCACAUAGGGCAA